RNAcentral lists this ribosomal RNA (332 nucleotides) under uncultured eukaryote. RNAcentral describes it as "partial 18S ribosomal RNA". It matches the Rfam family "Eukaryotic small subunit ribosomal RNA", at positions 1470 to 1796 of the family's 1831-position model. The record is from RNAcentral.
CCCUUAGAUGUUCUGGGCUGCACACGUGCUACACUGGCAGGUUCAGCGAGCUUCAUGCCCCGAUCUGAAAGGAAUGGGAAAUCUUUUCAAAACCUGCCGUGCUUGGGAUAGAUGUUUGCAAUUAUUCAUCUUCAACGAGGAUUGCCUUGUAAGCGCACGUCACCAGCGUGCAUUGAAUACGACCCUGUAUUCUGUACACACCGCCCGUCGCUCCUACCGAUUGAAGUUUUCGGUGAGUUGACAGGAGGAUUUUUUUGAAACUGGUUCGCCAGUGGAUUUUAGAUCCAAAUGCCAACGAAUCGAUGGCUUUAGAGGAAGGAGAAGUCGUAACA